This is a non-coding RNA of Gasterosteus aculeatus aculeatus (three-spined stickleback), 126 nucleotides long. The record is from RefSeq and is a predicted model, not a curated record. Lineage: Eukaryota; Metazoa; Chordata; Actinopteri; Perciformes; Gasterosteidae.
UUUGACCCCGUCUUCAUUUGAGUCGACACGCACACUUCAGACGUUCAGCCUGGACUCGUCUGUGGUGGAGGUCGUAGUAACACCUCCGCCUUCGCUCCUGAUAACUCAGUUACACCCCCACCUCCC